Long non-coding RNA from Vicia villosa (hairy vetch), 1678 nucleotides. RefSeq lists it as uncharacterized. Lineage: Eukaryota; Viridiplantae; Streptophyta; Magnoliopsida; Fabales; Fabaceae. The transcript is spliced from 3 exons. The record is from RefSeq and is a predicted model, not a curated record.
CCCUAACUCCAAUUCUACGGCCACCGUGUCACCACUCUUUCCGCCACUCUCCGCCACUCUCCAUCAACCUCACUCCGUCAUUGCGCCGCUACUACAAUUUCUCUAAGCUCGUGCUCCUUCUCCAAUUUCUACAUUUUUUGCUCCAUGUAUGAACAAAUUACAUCGUUAUCUUCCUCCAUUUUGAAAUGAUUGUGCCAUGAUCGAACCAUUUCAGCUCAAGAUAUGCUUGAAUCAACUACUAUGGUACUCGUUCGGUAUUCAACACUCUUUGCAUUUCCAUUUUUCUCAUAAUUCAAUGUGAAAAAUAAUUCAUCAUUAUAUAUUAGAUCACUAAUUAUCACGAAUGUCAGAAUGUGUGGCCUGCUGCAGGAUACCAGAUAUUUUAAUCAACUCGGACUGGAUUUCGUUUCACUAAAAGCUAUUCCCAUUCAACUUCUUCUUAUUAGGCAUGCUCGUUACUUUUUUCCUAUGAAGCGCAAACACUGGAAAAAUGACACUGACACGUCGACACCGACAAUAGUUUGAAGAAAUGAAUAAAUUAAACGUAGUCACAACACCGACACUGACACGGACACACAUUUUUUCAGAGGUGUCAGUGCUACAAAGCUUUUUUCAUAGUUCACAUUGAUUUCAUAUACUAAUGUUCAUUGGAAUUCUUCCCAUUAGUACUUGUUUAACAUGCACAUUGCACAUUAUGUAAUGUUUGUUUCGUCUAUUCUGUAAUGUGUGUGAUUGCCUUAUUGCCUUGAUGAGAAAUGAUUUUCAUAUUUUGUACAUGCAGCUUAUUCAUGAUCCUGCAAUAUGAGGUUGCUUGCAGGAGCCUGAGUUUUUCAUGUUUACAGUUCCUUGCUACAAGGACAGAGCAAAUGCCCUAUUGGAAACAAGCAAGUCGCCAAUGCAGUGGUUCACAGAUCACAAUGGGAGGAAACAGAACAUGACAGAAAAUUUGGGAGUGCCUGAGAGUGGAAUGUUGCAGCUGGACUAUAUAAAAGGUUGUAGAUACAAUUAUUUGGGUGGUGAAGGCUGUUUGCCACAGCUGGUUUUGAACAAGGCUGCUUGAGCAGUGGUUCAUGAGGCAGAGGAUUUUGUGGUAAGAGUUGCAACUUACUUUACCACUUUAGCUUCUACUUAUUUGUUUCUUUUGGUUUUAUGCUUAAAAAAUAUUUUUUGGAUUUAUUUUCUUCUAGUGUUUUUGUUCUCUUGAACCUUACUAACAGUGAACAAAUAGAGUAACUUCAAGCAUUGAGCAUAAAAUAAAAGAAUAUAUCCAAUGAAUUAUUGGUUUGGAAUUUAGGUUUCUAUCACUUUUAUGUUAGGAAUUUAGAUGCAUUUUGUCCAAACAAUCACUAUAGGCUAUUGUGAUUGUAGUUUUCAUGGAUAUAGGAAAUUAAAAACAACCGAGAAAUUGUGCCGUUGGAAUAGGUUUUUCAUGUUAUACAAACUGCUUUUAUCCUUUACCUACAGACUAUUGCUGCCUAUCACUAUAAGUUAUUUUUUCUCGAGUGAUACUUACAAGUAUGCCACUAGUUUCACUCUUAUUUUCUACACAAUAAAUAAUGGAAAAGAAAGUUGCUAUAUUUUUUUUUCCAUAUAAUAUUUCUCCAAUCAUAUUUAUUAUUCUCUUUACUUUUCACUUUCUAUUCCCUUACCUUUGUUUCGUCUUACUUUCUUUUUGAAA